This 447-nucleotide ribosomal RNA is filed under the name uncultured bacterium. RNAcentral's name for it is "bacterial SSU rRNA". It matches the Rfam family "Bacterial small subunit ribosomal RNA", at positions 329 to 793 of the family's 1533-position model. The record is from RNAcentral.
GUCCAGACUCCUACGGGAGGCAGCAGUGGGGAAUAUUGCACAAUGGGGGAAACCCUGAUGCAGCGACGCCGCGUGAGUGAAGAAGUAUUUCGGUAUGUAAAGCUCUAUCAGCAGGGAAGAUAAUGACGGUACCUGAGUAAGAAGCCCCGGCUAACUACGUGCCAGCAGCCGCGGUAAUACGUAGGGGGCAAGCGUUAUCCGGAUUUACUGGGUGUAAAAGGAGCGUAGACGGCAUGGCAAGUCUGAAGUGAAAGCCCGGGGCUCAACCGCGGGACUGCUUUGGAAACUGUUAAGCUGGAGUGCAGGAGAGGUAAGUGGAAUUCCUAGUGUAGCGGUGAAAUGCGUAGAUAUUAGGAGGAACACCAGUGGCGAAGGCGGCUUACUGGACUGUAACUGACGUUGAGGCUCGAAAGCGUGGGGAGCAAACAGGAUUAGAUACCCUCGUAC